RNAcentral lists this transfer RNA (78 nucleotides) under Cronobacter sakazakii. RNAcentral's name for it is "tRNA-OTHER". It matches the Rfam family "tRNA". From Rfam's summary of the family: Transfer RNA (tRNA) molecules are approximately 80 nucleotides in length. The record is from RNAcentral. Lineage: Bacteria; Pseudomonadati; Pseudomonadota; Gammaproteobacteria; Enterobacterales; Enterobacteriaceae.
AGGCUUGUAGCUCAGGUGGUUAGAGCGCACCCCUCGAUAAGGGUGAGGUCGGUGGUUCAAGUCCACUCAGGCCUACCA